This 557-nucleotide ribosomal RNA is filed under the name uncultured bacterium. RNAcentral's name for it is "bacterial SSU rRNA". It matches the Rfam family "Bacterial small subunit ribosomal RNA", at positions 37 to 611 of the family's 1533-position model. The record is from RNAcentral.
UGGCGGCGUGCCUAACACAUGCAAGUCGAACGAGAAAGUGGAGCAAUCCAUGAGUAAAGUGGCGACCGGGUGAGUAACACGUGACUAACCUACCCUAGAGUGGGGGAUAACCUCGGGAAACCGGGGCUAAUACCGCAUAACAUCGCGAGGUGAAAUUCCUUGUGAUCAAAGGAGCAAUUCGCUCAAGGAGGGGGUCGCGGCUGAUUAGCCAGUUGGUGGGGUAACGGCCUACCAAAGCAAAGAUCAGUAGCCGGCCUGAGAGGGCGCACGGCCACACUGGAACUGAAACACGGUCCAGACUCCUACGGGAGGCAGCAGUGGGGAAUUUUGCGCAAUGGGGGAAACCCUGACGCAGCAACGCCGCGUGGAGGAUGAAGUCCCUUGGGAUGUAAACUCCUUUCGAUCGGGAAGAUAAUGACGGUACCGGAAGAAGAAGCACCGGCUAACUCUGUGCCAGCAGCCGCGGUAAUACAGAGGGUGCAAGCGUUGUUCGGAAUUAUUGGGCGUAAAGGGCGCGUAGGCGGUGCGGUAAGUCUGUAGUGAAAUCUCUGGGCUCA